UACGAGGGGUGCAAGCGUUGCUCGGAAUUAUUGGGCGUAAAGGGUAGGUAGGUGGUCUGAUUUGUCUGGGGUGAAAGCCUUGAGCUUAACUCAAGAAGUGCCCCAGAAACGGUCAGACUCGAGUCCUGGAGAGGGUCGUGGAAUUCCCGGUGUAGCGGUGAAAUGCGUAGAUAUCUGGAGGAACACCGGUGGCGAAGGCGGCAUCCUGGACCAAUUCUGACACUGAGGAGCGAAAGCUAGGGGAGCGAACGGG
RNAcentral lists this ribosomal RNA (253 nucleotides) under uncultured bacterium. RNAcentral describes it as "partial 16S ribosomal RNA". It matches the Rfam family "Bacterial small subunit ribosomal RNA", at positions 524 to 776 of the family's 1533-position model. The record is from RNAcentral.